GGAAUUCCCGGGUGUAGCGGUGAAAUGCGCAGAUAUCGGGGAGGAACACCAGUAGCGAAGGCGGGCUCUCUGGGGCCGAUACCGGACGCUGAGGAGCGAAAGCUAGGGGAGCAAAACAGGAUUUAGAUACCCUGGUAGUCCUAGCUGUAAACGUUGGGCACUAGGGUGUGGGCGGACUCAUUGACGUCUGCCGUGCCGUAGCUAACGCAUUAAGUGCCCCGCCUGGGGAGUACGGUCGCAAGGCUAAAACUCAAAGGAAUUGACGGGGGCCCGCACAAGCGGCGGAGCAUGCGGCUUAAUUCGAUGCAACCCGAAGAACCUUACCUAGGCUUGACAUCACGGGAAAAACUGUAGAAAUACAGUGUGCGUAAGCGUCCGUGACAGGUGGUGCAUGGCCGUCGUCAGCUCGUGUCGUGAGAUGUUGGGUUAAGUCCCGCAACGAGCGCAACCCUUGUCCUAUGUUGCCAGCGGGUAAUGCCGGGGACUCAUAGGAGACUGCCGGGGACAACUCGGAGGAAGGCGGGGACGACGUCAGGUCAUCAUGCCCCUUACGCCUAGGGCUGCACGCAUGCUACAAUGGCAGGUACAAAGGGCUGCGAUCCCGCGAGGGUGAGCCAAUCCCAUAAAGCCUGUCUCAGUUCGGAUUGGAGUCUGCAACUCGACUCCAUGAAGCCGGAGUCGCUAGUAAUCGUGGAUCAGCAAUGCCACGGUGAAUACGUUCUCGGGCCUUGUACACACCGCCCGUCACAUCACGAAAGUCGGCAACACCCGAAGUCAGUGGGCCUAACCCUUA
This 793-nucleotide ribosomal RNA is filed under the name uncultured bacterium. Its description in RNAcentral is "bacterial SSU rRNA". It matches the Rfam family "Bacterial small subunit ribosomal RNA", at positions 663 to 1444 of the family's 1533-position model. The record is from RNAcentral.